Molecule: ribosomal RNA, 977 nt
Filed under: uncultured bacterium
Lineage: Bacteria
Description: bacterial SSU rRNA
Rfam family: Bacterial small subunit ribosomal RNA
Source: RNAcentral
UUUGAUCCUGGCUCAGGAUGAACGCUAGCGGCAAGCUUAAUACAUGCAAGUCGAGGGGCAGCGCAGUGUAGCAAUACAUGGGCGGCGACCGGCAAACGGGUGCGGAACACGUACAGAACCUUCCUUCGAGCGGGGAAUAGCCCAGAGAAAUUUGGAUUAAUACCCCAUAGUAUAUUGGAGUGGCAUCACUUUAAUAUUAAAGAUUUAUCACUUGAAGAUGGCUGUGCGGCUGAUUAGAUAGUUGGCGGGGUAACGGCCCACCAAGUCUGCGAUCAGUAACUGGUGUGAGAGCACGACCAGUCACACGGGCACUGAGACACGGGCCCGACUCCUACGGGAGGCAGCAGUAAGGAAUAUUGGUCAAUGGACGAAAGUCUGAACCAGCUAUGCCGCGUGGAGGAUGAAGGCCCUCUGGGUUGUAAACUUCUUUUAUAUGGGACGAAAAAGGGUCUUUCUAGAUCAACUGACGGUACCAUGUGAAUAAGCACCGGCUAACUCCGUGCCAGCAGCCGCGGUAAUACGGAGGGUGCAAGCGUUAUCCGGAUUCACUGGGUUUAAAGGGUGCGUAGGUGGGUUGGUAAGUCAGUGGUGAAAUCUCCGAGCUUAACUUGGAAACUGCCAUUGAUACUAUCAGUCUUGAAUAUUGUGGAGGUUAGCGGAAUAUGUCAUGUAGCGGUGAAAUGCUUAGAUAUGACAUAGAACACCAAUUGCGAAGGCAGCUGGCUACACAUAUAUUGACACUGAGGCACGAAAGCGUGGGGAUCAAACAGGAUUAGAUACCCUGGUAGUCCACGCCCUAAACUAUGGAUACUCGACAUAUGCGAUACACUGUAUGUGUCUGAGCGAAAGCAUUAAGUAUCCCACCUGGGAAGUACGAUCGCAGAUUGAAACUCAAGGAAUUGGCGGGGGUCGCACAGCGUGAGCAUGUGUUUAUUUCGAUGAUACGCGAGGACCUUACCUGGGCUAGGAUGCAUUUU